This 467-nucleotide ribosomal RNA is filed under the name uncultured bacterium. RNAcentral's name for it is "partial 16S ribosomal RNA". It matches the Rfam family "Bacterial small subunit ribosomal RNA", at positions 28 to 507 of the family's 1533-position model. The record is from RNAcentral.
GACGAACGCUGGCGGCGUGCUUAACACAUGCAAGUCGAACGGAAAGGCCUGCUUUUGUGGGGUGCUCGCGUGGCGAACGGGUGAGUAACACGUGAGUAACCUGCCCUUGACUUUGGGAUAACUUCAGGAAACUGGGGCUAAUACCGGAUAGGAGCUCCUGCUGCAUGGUGGGGGUUGGAAAGUUUCGGCGGUUGGGGAUGGACUCGCGGCUUAUCAGCUUGUUGGUGGGGUAGUGGCUUACCAAGGCUUUGACGGGUAGCCGGCCUGAGAGGGUGACCGGCCACAUUGGGACUGAGAUACGGCCCAGACUCCUACGGGAGGCAGCAGUGGGGAAUAUUGCACAAUGGGCGGAAGCCUGAUGCAGCAACGCCGCGUGCGGGAUGACGGCCUUCGGGUUGUAAACCGCUUUCGCCUGUGACGAAGCGUGAGUGACGGUAAUGGGUAAAGAAGCACCGGCUAACUACGUG